RNAcentral lists this ribosomal RNA (824 nucleotides) under Mannheimia haemolytica. RNAcentral's name for it is "partial 23S ribosomal RNA". It matches the Rfam family "Bacterial large subunit ribosomal RNA", at positions 1 to 865 of the family's 2925-position model. Lineage: Bacteria; Pseudomonadati; Pseudomonadota; Gammaproteobacteria; Pasteurellales; Pasteurellaceae. The record is from RNAcentral.
AGUUAAGUGACUAAGCGCACAAGGUGGAUGCCUUGGCAAUCAGAGGCGAAGAAGGACGUGCUAAUCUGCGAAAAGCUUGGAUGAGUCGAUAAGAGGCGUUUAAUCCAAGAUGUCCGAAUGGGGAAACCCAGUAGGUGAAGAACCUACUAUCACCCAGUGAAUACAUAGCUGUGUGAGGCAAACCGGGAGAACUGAAACAUCUAAGUACCCCGAGGAAAAGAAAUCAACCGAGAUUUCGUUAGUAGCGGCGAGCGAACGCGAAAGAGCCAGUUAGUGAUAGCAGUAAAGUUAGGGGAAUGUUCUGGGAAGGACAAUCGUAGAGGGUGAUAAUCCCGUACCUUAAAACUCCAUUGUGGUACUAGGCUAACAACAAGUAGGGCGGGACACGUGAUAUCCUGUUUGAAGAUGGGGGGACCAUCCUCCAAGGCUAAAUACUCCUGAUUGACCGAUAGUGAACCAGUACUGUGAAGGAAAGGCGAAAAGAACCCCGGCGAGGGGAGUGAAAUAGAACCUGAAACCUUGUGCGUACAAGCAGUGGGAGCAAGAGUAAUCUUGUGACUGCGUACCUUUUGUAUAAUGGGUCAGCGACUUAUAUUUUGUAGCAAGGUUAACUGAAUAAGGGAGCCGUAGGGAAACCGAGUCUUAACUGGGCGUGUAGUUGCAAGGUAUAGACCCGAAACCCGGUGAUCUAGCCAUGGGCAGGUUGAAGGUUGGGUAACACUAACUGGAGGACCGAACCGACUAAUGUUGAAAAAUUAGCGGAUGACUUGUGGCUGGGGGUGAAAGGCCAAUCAAACCGGGAGAUAGCUGGUUCUCCCCGAAAU